RNAcentral lists this ribosomal RNA (198 nucleotides) under uncultured bacterium. Its description in RNAcentral is "partial 16S ribosomal RNA". It matches the Rfam family "Bacterial small subunit ribosomal RNA", at positions 328 to 539 of the family's 1533-position model. The record is from RNAcentral.
ACGCUCGACACCUACGGGAGGCAGCAGUGGGGAAUAUUGCACAAUGGGGGAAACCCUGAUGCAGCGACGCCGCGUGAGCGAAGAAGUAUCUCGGUAUGUAAAGCUCUAUCAGCAGGGAAGAAGAUGACGGUACCUGACUAAGAAGCACCGGCUAAAUACGUGCCAGUAGCCGCGGUAAUCUGAGCGGGCUGGCAAGGC